UAUUAGGCAAUCCAAACCACGUGACCUCUGGUUGGCACACAAACUAAAGAAGAGGUUAUGUUUGUGUCUAUUUUUCAAUGAUUUUUCAUUGUUUAUCGUCGUAUUUUGGAUUCAUUUGGAUUUCGUUUCCUGUUUUUGUGAACUUUAUAAACUUUACCACAAUGCGAACUGAUUAUUUAAGGAAAUUAUUAUUGGAAACUCCAGAUGUUGCGAGAAAGAUAUUUAUUGAAGCUAAAAAUAAUUGGGGAUUUAGAUCCAUACGGAAUUCAGUCAGAAUUGGAUUUUACAGUAAAGUGCAGUCCAUCAAGUUACUAUUAUAGAUAUGUAUUUAUACAGAUCUGGUGGAGUCUCACAGUUGCUACUCUAAGCAGCAGAUGAAAGCAUACAAAAGCCUUCAGGCACAUAAAUAUUUUACAGCUGGAUUUGUUUUGAAUGGAGUAAAAAUUGUUAAUGAUUUCCUGAUUUCCAUAUUAUUGUUGGAAAGGUGAAGCAUUUCCAAAAAGCUAAUGCUAAACGACUAAAUGCUUGGGUGGGGUGAUAGCCAGUUCUGAUGACAUAGCAAAUGCACAUUGUAUGCGUAUGGCCGGUAAUAGUGAAGUCUGCAGCCAUAUUGCAGCAAUCCUAUUUUUAGCUGAGUAUGCCCAGAGCAAGACAGACGAAGAAGAACCCAAUGCAUGUACAUAUGUUACAGCUACAUGGUUUGGAGAUAGCAACAUAUGCAUUCUCUGAUGAAAAACUAAUGAGUUUUGAAACUGUUCGGUCAGAGUGCUUGUUGCGCUCACUAAACGAACUGAAAUAUAAGAAGUCUUUGGCAUUGUGUUGCAGCGAUAUGAAAAUGGUUAUUCAUUUUUAAUUAUAAUGUACUUCUUCAUCAUGAGUAAUUAUGUAUUGGUCUUUUAGAUGUGUAUUUAUUUUUGUAAUUAGUAUCAACUUGUAAUGAUAAUAUACAUUUAUCAUUUAAGGUACGACUAUGUUUUGACUCUAAAAUAAAUGUUUUAAAAAUCGAAUCCUGCCUCUUUCUGUUAGUAACUACCCAUGGAUAUCACAAAUUGUGCUUACUGAUAGGUUUGUUCGUAGAACGAUCAGCAACUCUUGCCAACCAUCAGACACAUGCGCAUUCGUAGUCUAUGAAUGCUAACUAUUAACUGCACAACGCUAACUGUUAACUGCUCAUGCAUCUGAUGGUUGGCAGCAGUUGCUAAUCGUUUGUGUCGUACUACGAACAAACCUAUUAGGUCUGGAUCCUGUGUACCAAAAAAAUUGAUUAAUAGCAAGCUGAAAAUUUGUUAAUAGUUUAACGGUGUCCAGUUGGACAAACUUUGAUGUAUUGUGACACUGGAACAGGGGUAGUUUUAAUUGUGAAACAGUUUGGAAACUCAGAUUUGGAACAUCAGAUUACGAAAACAUCCCAUAAAUUUUGUCGGACAGAACAUCCAAUUGAUCUGUUACCCUUUCAUUAAAUUCUCAUGCAAAAAUCAGACUGCUAUUACUAACCAACAUGAUUCCUGUAGUUUGACAUGGUCUUCGUGUUCUACUCAUUAAAAUGCCCAGUUGGUGAUUUUUUCACCAGUCUGGUUUUUGCAUGAGAGUUUAAUGAAUUGGUAGCAAAUCAAUUGGAAGUUUUAUCUGACAAAUUACAUAAACAUUUUCGUAGUUUGACGUUCCAAAUUUUUAACCUGUUCUACAGUUAAAACUUCUAGUGUUCCCAUACAUCAAAGUUUGUCGGACUAGACACUGUUAAGCUAUUAAUAAAUUUUCAGCUU
Diabrotica virgifera virgifera (western corn rootworm) is the source of this 1763-nucleotide long non-coding RNA. RefSeq lists it as uncharacterized. NCBI's taxonomy places the organism in Eukaryota, Metazoa, Arthropoda, Insecta, Coleoptera, Chrysomelidae. The transcript has 3 exons. The record is from RefSeq and is a predicted model, not a curated record.